AGUCGUGGGGCAGCAGGGGUAGCAAUACCCGCUGGCGACCGGCAAACGGGUGCGGAACACGUACGCAACCUUCCUUUAACUGGAGAAUAGCCCCUCGAAAGAGGGAUUAAUACUCCGUAACAUAACGAAGUGGCAUCACUUUGUUAUUAUAGCUCCGGCGGUUAAAGAUGGGCGUGCGCCUGAUUAGAUAGUUGGUGAGGUAACGGCUCACCAAGUCUGCGAUCAGUAACUGGUGUGAGAGCACGACCAGUCACACGGGCACUGAGACACGGGCCCGACUCCUACGGGAGGCAGCAGUAAGGAAUAUUGGUCAAUGGACGCAAGUCUGAACCAGCCAUGCCGCGUGGAGGAUUAAGGCCCUCUGGGUUGUAAACUCCUUUUAUCUGGGAAGAAACCCACAUAUUCUUAUGUGGUUGACGGUACCAGAAGAAUAAGCACCGGCUAACUCCGUGCCAGCAGCCGCGGUAAUACGGAGGGUGCAAGCGUUAUCCGGAUUCACUGGGUUUAAAGGGUGCGUAGGCGGGCAGGUAAGUCCGUGGUGAAAUCUCUGAGCUUAACUCAGAAACUGCCGUGGAUACUAUUUGCCUUGAAUACUGUGGAGGUAAGCGGAAUAUGUCAUGUAGCGGUGAAAUGCUUAGAUAUGACAUGGAACACCAAUUGCGAAGGCAGCUUACUACACAGCUAUUGACGCUGAGGCACGAAAGCGUGGGGAUCAAACAGGAUUAGAUACCCUGGUAGUCCACGCCCUAAACGAUGAUUACUCGACAUCAGCGAUACA
This 778-nucleotide ribosomal RNA is filed under the name uncultured bacterium. RNAcentral describes it as "bacterial SSU rRNA". It matches the Rfam family "Bacterial small subunit ribosomal RNA", at positions 60 to 833 of the family's 1533-position model. The record is from RNAcentral.